UACAAAGGGGGCUAGCGUUGCUCGGAAUCACUGGGCGUAAAGGGUGCGUAGGCGGGUCUUUAAGUCAGGGGUGAAAUCCUGGAGCUCAACUCCAGAACUGCCUUUGAUACUGAAGAUCUUGAGUUCGGGAGAGGUGAGUGGAACUGCGAGUGUAGAGGUGAAAUUCGUAGAUAUUCGCAAGAACACCAGUGGCGAAGGCGGCUCACUGGCCCGAUACUGACGCUGAGGCGCGAAAGCGUGGGGAGCAAACAGG
RNAcentral lists this ribosomal RNA (253 nucleotides) under uncultured bacterium. RNAcentral describes it as "partial 16S ribosomal RNA". It matches the Rfam family "Bacterial small subunit ribosomal RNA", at positions 524 to 776 of the family's 1533-position model. The record is from RNAcentral.